RNAcentral lists this ribosomal RNA (497 nucleotides) under uncultured bacterium. RNAcentral's name for it is "partial 16S ribosomal RNA". It matches the Rfam family "Bacterial small subunit ribosomal RNA", at positions 28 to 507 of the family's 1533-position model. The record is from RNAcentral.
GAUGAACGCUGGCGGCGUGCCUAAUACAUGCAAGUCGAGCGAACAGAUGAGGAGCUUGCUCCUCUGACGUUAGCGGCGGACGGGUGAGUAACACGUGGAUAACCUACCUAUAAGACUGGGAUAACUUCGGGAAACCGGAGCUAAUACCGGAUAAUAUAUUGAACCGCAUGGUUCAAUAGUGAAAGACGGUCUUGCUGUCACUUAUAGAUGGAUCCGCGCUGCAUUAGCUAGUUGGUAAGGUAACGGCUUACCAAGGCAACGAUGCGUAGCCGACCUGAGAGGGUGAUCGGCCACACUGGAACUGAGACACGGUCCAGACUCCUACGGGAGGCAGCAGUAGGGAAUCUUCCGCAAAGGGCGAAAGCCUGACGGAGCAACGCCGCGUGAGUGAUGAAGGUCUUCGGAUCGUAAAACUCUGUUAUUAGGGAAGAACAAAUGUGUAAGUAACUAUGCACGUCUUGACGGUACCUAAUCAGAAAGCCACGGCUAACUACGUG